AUUCAUAAAGGAAAGACCAGACCUGACCAGAAAAUUUGAUGCCCAAUCAAGAGAAUCAUCACAAGGGUCCUGUCCUGUUACCUUAAAUUUCCCCUGGAUUCCUUGGUGCAGGUCUUCUACAAGAUUCUACUGGCUUAUGGCUUUGUACACAGAUAUGGAUUGGAUAAAAGAGUUUAAUAUAUGAUCCUCACCAGUUUUCUUUAUCAUUGAUCUUUCUCCAGUCCCUUUCAGAAAUUUUUAUAUUUUAUAUGGAAAACAUAUGCUGCCUUAUAUCACUAUAUUAACCAAUAUAUGACUCCUUGAACUUUAGUUAUUUGCCUAAAUAAAAAUAACUAGUAAUUGGUGAAAAAAGGGCUA
Molecule: long non-coding RNA, 357 nt
Filed under: Monodelphis domestica (gray short-tailed opossum)
Lineage: Eukaryota; Metazoa; Chordata; Mammalia; Didelphimorphia; Didelphidae
Description: lncRNA (ENSMODG00000039147.1)
Source: RNAcentral